GACGAACGCUGGCGGCGUGCUUGACACAUGCAAGUCGAACGGAAAGGCCUGCUUUCCCUUGUGGAUUGCGGGUACUCGGGUGGCUAACGGGUGAGUAACACGUGAGUGAUCUGCCCCCAACUUGGGUAUAAGCCUGGGAAACUGUGUCGAAUUCUCGAUAGAACUGCAGGGUUGUGCCUGUGGUGGCAAACGAGUUGCUACUGGUUGGUGAUUAGGUCCCGGCCUAGCAGCUUGUUGGUGUGGUAAUGGCCUACCAAGGCGGCGACGGGUAGCCGGCCUGGGAGGGUGGACGGCGGAAUUGGGACUGAGAUACGGCCCCGACUCCUACGGGAGGCAGCAGUGGGGAAUAUUGCACAGUGAGCGGAAGCCUGAUGCAGCGACGGCGCGUGGGGGAUGACGGCCUUCGGGUUGUAAACUCCUUUCGACCGCGAGGAAGGCAACUGGUUGGAAGGGUGGUGACGGUAGUGGUAGAAGAAGCACCGGCUAACUACGUG
RNAcentral lists this ribosomal RNA (494 nucleotides) under uncultured bacterium. RNAcentral describes it as "partial 16S ribosomal RNA". It matches the Rfam family "Bacterial small subunit ribosomal RNA", at positions 28 to 507 of the family's 1533-position model. The record is from RNAcentral.